Molecule: unclassified non-coding RNA, 224 nt
Filed under: Hevea brasiliensis (rubber tree)
Lineage: Eukaryota; Viridiplantae; Streptophyta; Magnoliopsida; Malpighiales; Euphorbiaceae
Source: RNAcentral
GAUGACUCUGAUGAGUCCGAGAAGAAAAAGAAGAGUUCUUUCUUCAACUGGUUCUAUUUUUCAAUAAACAUUGGGGCUCUUUUUGCUUCCUCUGUGCUUGUUUGGAUACAAACAAAUGUUGGUUGGGGUUGGGGCUUUGGUAUCCCAGCUGUGGCAAUGGCCAUUGCGGUUGUAAGUUUCUUCUCAGGCACCAAGUUGUAUAGAAACCAGAGACCUGCAGGAAG